This 253-nucleotide ribosomal RNA is filed under the name uncultured bacterium. Its description in RNAcentral is "partial 16S ribosomal RNA". It matches the Rfam family "Bacterial small subunit ribosomal RNA", at positions 524 to 776 of the family's 1533-position model. The record is from RNAcentral.
GACAGAGGGUGCAAACGUUGUUCGGAAUUACUGGGCGUAAAGCGCGUGUAGGCGGCCCUGCAAGUCGGGUGUGAAAUCCCACGGCUCAACCGUGGAAGUGCACUCGAAACUGCAGGGCUAGAGUCCUGGAGAGGAAGGUGGAAUGCUUGGUGUAGAGGUGAAAUUCGUAGAUAUCAAGCGGAACACCGGUGGCGAAGGCGGCCUUCUGGGCCAACACUGACGCUCAUGCACGAAAGCGUGGGGAGCAAACAGG